This 449-nucleotide ribosomal RNA is filed under the name uncultured bacterium. RNAcentral describes it as "bacterial SSU rRNA". It matches the Rfam family "Bacterial small subunit ribosomal RNA", at positions 330 to 795 of the family's 1533-position model. The record is from RNAcentral.
UCCAGACUCCUACGGGAGGCAGCAGUGGGGGAUAUUGCACAAUGGGGGGAACCCUGAUGCAGCGACGCCGCGUGGGUGAAGGGGUAUUUCGGUAUGUAAAGCCCUAUCGGCAGGGAAGAAGCAAGACGGUACCUGACUAAGAAGCCCCGGCUAACUACGUGCCAGCAGCCGCGGUAAUACGUAGGGGGCAAGCGUUAUCCGGAUUUACUGGGUGUAAAGGGAGCGUAGACGGUUAUGUAAGUCUGGAGUGAAAGCCCGGGGCCCAACCCCGGGACUGCUUUGGAAACUGUGUAACUAGAGUACAGGAGGGGCAGGCGGAAUUCCUGGUGUAGCGGUGAAAUGCGUAGAUAUCAGGAGGAACACCGGCGGCGAAGGCGGCCUGCUGGACUGAAACUGACGUUGAGGCUCGAAAGCGUGGGGAGCAAACAGGAUUAGAUACCCGAGUAACC